This is a non-coding RNA of Pelodiscus sinensis (Chinese soft-shelled turtle), 201 nucleotides long. The record is from RefSeq and is a predicted model, not a curated record. NCBI's taxonomy places the organism in Eukaryota, Metazoa, Chordata, Testudines, Trionychidae.
GGGUGCCAGAGGGGACGCACUGACUCCACCCCCCUUCAGAAGCCCUCAGGGGAAAGCCCGUCUCCCGCCGCCGGUGGCUGAGAGGGAGGACGAGGACCAGACCUACAUGAAUGACGAAGAUGUGGCAGCCAUCAAGGGAACGAAGCCAAAGCUGCCCGGCGCCACUAAAGACCUGAGCACGAGGGUGCCUAGCAACAGCCC